UGGAAUCUGCCAGGAUUGUGUAUGGUCUCCAUUUUGUUUUGUGGGGUUUCUUCAGGCUUUUGCUGGUUUCUUUCCACAGGCAGAAACAUGUUGGAGCAGUGGCAGUCUGACAUACACAGCAAGUGUCUGGGCCCUUUUACUACAACAUCAAGUAACUGCCUUCCACAGAGCUUGUGUGCAUAGUUUGAACAGUCGGUAUAUGCACACCUGAAUGGGAUCUGUGAGCUGGAAAUGAUGAUCAGGUUUAAAGAGAGUUUAAGUCCCAUUAAUAAAGUAGAAUGGCUUCUUUGCGAGUGGAA
Molecule: long non-coding RNA, 299 nt
Organism: Xenopus tropicalis (tropical clawed frog)
Lineage: Eukaryota; Metazoa; Chordata; Amphibia; Anura; Pipidae
Exons: 2
Source: RefSeq, a predicted model, not a curated record